Molecule: ribosomal RNA, 576 nt
Filed under: Triticum aestivum (bread wheat)
Lineage: Eukaryota; Viridiplantae; Streptophyta; Magnoliopsida; Poales; Poaceae
Description: partial small subunit ribosomal RNA
Source: RNAcentral
AUGGAGCACGCGCAUGACGAGCUCAGCCUCGAGCUCACCCUGGCCGCCGCCGUCGUGGCCCUGGCGCCCGGCUUCUUCCUAUGCGUGUACUGCCACCGCAAGUUCCGCACCUCGCAGGCUCUCGGCGGCCACCAGAACGCGCACAAGGAAGAGCGAGCCGACAAGCACCGCCGGGAGACUGCCGCCACCACGGCGCAUGCUUCGAAACCGGAGAGGGCUGCCGCCACUGUUUGGGUGUCCGAGGAGGCAGCAGCAGCAGCUUCUCAGACUAUCUGGGCUUCCAGAGGCAAUAAAUUAGUGACUGUGGCACAACAUGUAUCACUGGAUCACACCACUAAUGUGCAUUGGUCACGUAUCUGGAAAUUCUUCACUCUUUGGAUGUUUGUGCAAAAUAUCCACCUUGAUGAGCUUGACAAGGAUGAUAUUGUCUGGAAGCACACUAAUGAUGGGAUCUACUCGGUGGCCUCCACUUAUAGAUCCCAAUUCUUAGUGUUUGGUCAACUCCCCCUUGAAUCGCAUGAUAUGCAAGAAUUGUAUGCAACCAAAGGUCUAGUUUUUUUCUUGGUUAGCUACACA